RNAcentral lists this transfer RNA (88 nucleotides) under Oryzias latipes (Japanese medaka). It matches the Rfam family "tRNA". Rfam says of the family: Transfer RNA (tRNA) molecules are approximately 80 nucleotides in length. Their secondary structure includes four short double-helical elements and three loops (D, anti-codon, and T loops). The record is from Rfam by way of RNAcentral. Lineage: Eukaryota; Metazoa; Chordata; Actinopteri; Beloniformes; Adrianichthyidae.
CCUUCGAUAGCUCAGUUGGUAGAGCGGAGGACUGUAGAUGUUAUUAACAGAGAUCCUUAGGUCGCUGGUUCGAAUCCGGCUCGAAGGA